AGGGGUUUUGGGGGGUGGACAUGGAAUGGGACGCUGGCUGGCACAUAUGGAGAAGUCUCAUGGAAGAACAAUAAGGAAAAGCCCAGCGCAUACUCCAUUAAUUUCCUUUUUUCCCCUUCAAUAAGUAAACUUAAAGUAUUCGUGAAAUGAGCACUAAAGCCUCUUUAACAGUGUUUUCACAGCUGGCCGACUCCCCCCCUGCUCCGGCAGUAAAGGUCCUUCCUGAAUGAACAUUAACAUGGGAAGGCUGUAACAUCAUACUUGGCAGUCCUGCAUCGCCACUAAACACCUAGUGAACCCGGCUCAUAGACCCGCCAGCCAGAAUUUUCUGCAAAUACUUGGAUCCUUCAAAUCCAGAAAAAAAGAUACAGAAAGAAAUAUGCUAAAAUUCUGCAUAACAAGGGAGUCCUUCCGGAAAAAUAAACCAGUGUUAAAAAAAGUGUGGAGACAAUCCCCUCAAAUCCCAAAUAUCCCACAUACAUGGUUCAAACCUUUGUUGUUUAUGGAUUUUUAAAAGACAGUGAAAUAAGGAAAAUAUUAUAUAUACUGUAGUUUUUAUUGCUGGGCUGAACUUUAUAUCUCGAAUAUUCAAAUAUUUUGGUUUAUGACCAAAUACCUACUUAAGGAAUAUGUAUUAUCUUAUCUCUAGUAAUAUAUAUGUGAAAAAAUAUAUAUAAAACCAGACUUGAAUGUAAUUAUAAUUAUGUUAUUAAAUAUAGUUUAUUCAGAGUGAAAUCAUUUCAAUUUUUGGUAUAUUAAGUACAUUUUGAUGCAAACACUUUGUUUCUCUCGUUAGACUCUCGUUAAAAUGACAAACUUUUUGACAAACAGAACAAGAAUGCUGCAUAAUGUGAGGACUAAAAAAUCUGUCAGAAGCGAGGAAACCGUCACAACCAUUCCACACAGUCAUUACCUUGAUCGGAUGACUGAUUGGAGUCAGCCAGCGUUGCUUUCGUAUGAAAUUAAAUGUGUCCGUUAGUAAGCAAGGAUCACUAAUUAUCACUACCAAGUAUCCCGUUAGCUCACGCCAUCGGCCGCGCAUGCGUGGGGACCUAUUGGACAUCCCCGCUCUAUACGAACCAGUCUCAGUUUAGUCCUGCUAUUGAAGUUGUUUUUAUUCUUAAGUAAAUAUGUUCUGUAUAAAGUGUGUAGCAUUGACUGGAACUUUUCAUCCUCCUUGGUUUCUGAAGGUUGAGUGAAAGCCGUGAUCCUGAACCUCAGGUUAAGAACUACUGCUUCCAGUUUCUGGAGGAAAUAUUGAAUCAUAUGGAAAGGUUCAAGUGAAGUAGCAGAAGUGAAGAUGGACUGAGUUUAACAUGUGGAUAUUUAAUCACAGCCUCUUCUGUCUCUGCAGCCUCACACCCACAUGCUCACAUGCUCUCACUCACUUCCCACUAAAGGGAACACGAAGUGACAGCAUUGUGUACAGAGGAUUAAGUGUUUUAGAAACCUACCACGAGUGGCAGAAAACUACAAAAUACAACAGGAAGUGAACCACACCGUGACAGAAGUAAAACAAACUGUGGUGCGACAUACAGCAGAGAACUGUGCAGAGGAAUUACUCCACGUAUCAAACUGAAGGGGGGUGAGUAGCAAACGGACGGACCACUUACAUUACCAAUUAAACAACAGUGUCUAAAAUACACCUUCUAAAGUGAUCAUUACUUUUACUACUUAACUUUUUAGAUUUAGUCUAUAGAAGAACAAACAUUCAUUAUAAACAACAUUGUAACAACAACAAUAUUCAUUAAUCGCCAUUAAUCGAGAUCAAUGAAUUUCAAAAUGUCCGAUUAAUUAAUUAAUUUUUUUAAUCUAUUGACAGCCCUAAUGUUUGGAAUAUGUUUGUUCAAUAUCAGUGUAUUAUAAGUAAUGUAUGUUCUGUAAAUGUGAUGUGUUGUUGUCAGGGAUGCGUGGGAAGGCAGGUUGUUAUAUAUAUGUUAUGUAAAUGUAUAACUGGUUAUAGUGGGAAUGAGGGGGAUGGAAGCAGAGGUCAUGUGAAGUUAACAAUGGCGGAGGACUGCUACGUUGUCACGGUGACGGGGCGGAGAAGGGAGGGCGGUUGGAGCCUUCCCCUGGGAACAUCUCGAGCCAAAAAACGUUUGUAUCCGUGUUAGCUCUCUAGUGGUAUCCAUGCUAGCUAGUUGGUGGUAAUUUUGUUCGUUGGUGGUAUCACUGUUAGCUCGUAGGUGGUAUCUUUGUUAGCCCAUUGGUGGUAUACAUGUUAUCUCUUCAGUGGUUUCUCUGUUAGCUCGGUGAUGGUAUCUAUGUUAGCUCUCCGGUGGUAUCCAUGCUAACUCGUUGGUGAUAUCUCUGUUAGCCCAUUGGUGGUAUACAUGUUAUCUCUUCAGUGGUUUCUCUGUUAGCUCGUUGAUGGUAUCUAUGUUAGCUCUCCGGUGGUAUCCAUGCUAACUCGUUGGUGAUAUCUCUGUUAGCUCGUUGGUGGUGUCCACGAUAGCUCUUCAGUGGUAUCUUUGUUAGCUCGUUGGUGGUAUCCGUGCCACGGACCGGUGACAUCGCAGUUGAGGCCUCUGUGAUCUCAGCAGAUGUUUGAAGUGGUGAAGACAAACAGGUCAUUUAUGGUUUCUGGUCUGGGAAUGGAGGUUUCUACUCUGAACUUCUCCCAGAGAACUUUCUGUCAGAACACAAAAAUACUUAAAAUACCACCAUAAACGUGUGAAGCCUUUGAAUGAGUAGGAUCAGAAGAAAAAAAGAUUACUAAACCGCAGGUCUCCAUUUCUUCACGUAUCUCAGAUAUCUGAAAGACCGUUAGAGCAUCAUCAGGUCAAGGACCCUCUGACAACCUUUAUCAUAGUGUAUCUGAUGGGUGCUUGGAACACCCCUGGAAUUAUGUUCAAAAAUCAUUGAGAUGCUCUGAAGGAUAUCUGAAACAGUUAGAAGGAGUCUUCGUCAUCAUACAACGUCCCUUAUUGACCCUUGAAAUGUCCCCAGUGCUUUCUUGUCCCGCCCACACCCCAAAAAAUCCUAAAAGACUCUUAAAACCUCCACAAGGACCUGUGAAAUACUUGCGAGGACCUUUGCUGACCUUAAAGAACCACCUGAAGACACCUACCAAAACAAAUAAAUGACUUGUACUUGUACUGUAAUUGUUCUUCAGAACACAUUUCCAUGUUUUAUUUGUGAAAUUUUACCAGUUGUAGAUAAAGAUUGCUCUGACUUCACGCUGCAGCUGCUGCAUCGGAUGCACAAGUCCAAAAAUCACCAUCACAUCUCUGCACGCGCUCAAAUCCUCCCAGGACGGCUGAGUGUGUGUGUGUGUGUGGGACGGCUGACCUUUCUUUCACACUUUUCAUUCUCUUCCUCGCUGCAGAGAGGAGGUGGAGUGACCCUCUUCUUCCUCUUCAUCCUCCUCUGAACCUUCACAGCAGGGUUAAUGUAAGACCACCUCCCCCGACACACACACACACACACACACACACACACACACACACACACACACACACACACACACACUCCAUUGGACGGAAACAAAAGUGAGUUACAAACGUGCACUGUUUUAUAACUAUUCUUAAAAAUCACAGAACAUACGAUGGAAAUCCAGUCUGAAGGUCCCGAGCAUAUCAGGUUAAGGGAGGAUUCUUUUUUUGUAACUGUUGAAUAAUUCCUUAAAUCCUCGUCUGUCAACAUACAGAGCAGAACAUUAACCACGAUUCAGAGGUCCAAUUCCCGCUGUCCACCCGUCCCUACUCAAACCUCCAUACAGGCAGAACUGAGACGACCCCCCCCCCCCCCGUUCCUCAGGGAUUCCCUGACCUCUGAGAGUUUUCCGACAGCAGUUUGAGUUUUCUGUUUCUUUUUAUAAAGGAAAACAUCCAGAAAGGGGAGUCUCUUUUUUUUUAAUGUUCUCACGAGUCUCUGAGGUGUAAUCUGGAGUUUAAUGGAGAGCCGGCAGCAGUCCGGAGAACAGGAAACCCUGCAGGGAAGAUCAACACCAGCCCACGUGGAGAAAACAUCUAUCAGUUAGCUUUGGAUCCAAAGAAAAAUAACCCUGAACACUGGCUCAAGGACCCCUGGAGCACACGCAUGGAACAUUGGCACUCCAUCAAGGACUACUAGAAAGUCCCCAAAACCCGCUUCUGCACCCAAAAAGGACCCUCGAGACCCCAAAGGGAUCAGAGAACCCUCUCAAUGACACCAAGAAUACCCUUAUCUCGGAAACCACUUCCUCCAAACCUCCAUAAGGUUGGUCCCUGGAAUGUCCUUAAGGUCCACAUGGACCCUCGCAACAAUAUGCAGAAGGUUCCCCACACAACGUAGAACCUCAGGAAGGACUGACUCUUAACCAUCCACCUCUAGAACCCUAGAAUUACUAGAAUCCUCUGAGUAAGCCUCUCAUGAAGGUUCCUUUAAGAAGGAUCCUCAAUGACCUAAUUCAUUUAGCAGCCAUACAAUUUGGUUUAUUCCAAAUUUAUUUCUGUAUAAUACAUUUAAUAUUUGACUUAGUUUGCAAAUUUUGUUUAUAAGUCAUAGAAGUGGUUUAUGAUAUAAUGAAUGUGAGAAAUGGGUAUCGAGAUGGUUACAAUUCCUCCUCAUCACUGUGCUCAUCUAACUUUCCUCACAGUUAUUAUGUACAAUAUAUAAUAAGUUAUACAUUAUAUAUAAUAAUAAUAAUAAUGGAGCACUGACUAUUUGACUUAAAAAAAACCUGUUUCCCAGACACCUGGAACUUCCUCGACAAGCAUUAAAACCUGCUAUGAGGCCCGCAAAUCCCCCUGAAGGCACUUAAUCACCCCCCCGAAUUCUUCCCCAGGGCCCCUGCAACACCCCCAAGGACGCCCGAGAACCGCCAUCAAACCCCCGGCUGUGCUACAAUGCCCUCAUUGCACAAACCGGCGAAAAACGGGCCUGCAAAUGUUUGUCUUGCAUGCAGCUGGAUAUUGAAAAUAUUAACUCAAGUUAUUCUUAACAAUGAAGGAGGGGAUGGGGGGCAGAGGGGGGAUUGGAGGGGCUCGUUGGGGCCAACAUCGGACUCCGCAAAUACAAAAAAACCCGAGAGCGGGAAGUGAUUUAUCUGUUCUUCAGAAAGCAGAAACUUCUCAAACGUAAAAAAGCACAGAAGUGGGGUGGGGGGGGGGUCCCUGGGGAUUGGACGCCUCGAGGGGGGUGGGGGGUGUUAUUGUGUUAUUCUUCAUCUCAUCUUCGCCUCAGACGACGACGCUGCGUAUUCGAGUCCCCGGUGACGGACGAUAUUAAAGCGACGCCAUGAUGACACACCGACAACGACCUCCAUCAGCGCCUCAAUAGUUCCUCUUUUUAUCCUGGCUUUGUGUGUAAUUGUGUGUGUGCAAGUGUGGUUGUGUGUGUGUGUGUGUGUGUGUGUGUGUGUGACUCCACCUCACCGGGAGCUGCUGCUCGUCUCCAGGCGGGUGAAAACAAAAGGAGGGCAGCAAAGGUUUUUACUAAUUAUGUUUCAAAUUAAAACUGAACAGGUUCAUGU
This is a long non-coding RNA of Gasterosteus aculeatus aculeatus (three-spined stickleback), 5455 nucleotides long. Lineage: Eukaryota; Metazoa; Chordata; Actinopteri; Perciformes; Gasterosteidae. The record is from Ensembl.